GAUGGAGAUGGAAGCGCCGCCGCCGACCUCGUCCUGCCCACCCGCUCCGGAUCCAGCCCCAACGGCUACCCACCAGCUCCACUUUCCUUCUAUACCCGCCACCACGCCACGCACGCCACCUCGCCGAAGCCGUAUCCUGCAAGGACAAGCCUCCGUCUCCCGCGACUGCCUCUGGCCCGGCUAUAAAGGCGCGCCCUCUGGCCGGCCAGCUCCCCCUCUCUUCGCCGAGGCCACUCCUCCUCUCUUCGAGUCUUCGUCCGCGCCAUGCCUCUCGCCUCGAUUCGUCCUCGACUGGUGCCUCGCCUCCUCUCGCGUAUGGUUUCAUCUCGCCCAUCCUCGCUCGAUUCGUCCGUUCAGAUUAGAAGAAGCAGUUUUGGUUUUGCUCAUCUGCGGGUUCUUGAUUUAUUUGGUUCUGCUCGUCCUCGCUGUUGUUCGUUCAGAAAGCGUCUUGUUCUAUCGAUUCUUCUCGUCCUCGCUGUCGUUCGUCUAGGAAUUGCGUAGGAAUUGCGUCUGGUUCAUUCAAUUCUGCUCGUCGUCGCCGUCGUUCAUUUAGAAAUGGCGUCUGGUUCAUUCGAUUCUGCUCUGCUCGUCCUCGAUGUAGUCCGUUUAGAUCAGAAUCGCCUCUUUUUUGAUUUUGCUUGUCCUCGCCAUCGUCAGUUUAGACAAAAUCGCGUCUGAUUUGAUUCUGCGCGUUCUCGCCGUAGUCCGUUUGCAAUCGCGUUUGCUUUGAUUCUGCUCGGUCCCCUGUGUUGCUGCUGGGUUCGUUACGCUCAUGCUCUCGCGUGUUCUUCAUGCCAUCUCAUCGUGGGUAUCCGUGGAGGAAGUGAGCGGUCGGUCAGUCGGUUUGGGUCAUCUGGUUUGCGAACUAACAAGUCUGUUUGAGAAACUUCUGCGUCCUUCCUGCGUUUCGUGUUCGUGUCUGCUUUUGAAAUUGGAUUGCCGUUUAUCGCGCUCGUUCAGAUCGGUUCCUCUGUCACGUCACCUGCGUUGUUCGUCCGUUAUUUUCAUAUCUGAAAUGCAUGCGCCCUUUGAUACUACUGUACUUGAUGGAUGUUCAGAUCUCAAACGCUACCUUGUUCAGAUCGGUUCUUCUGAUUGAAAUAGGAUUGUUGCCCCUCUGUCGAUACUUAUUCUACUUGAUGGAUGUUCAGGGUGUUACUGCUUAUGUUCUUUUCAAUUGCUUAAUUCUUGUCAUGCUUUGCUUAUGUUCCCAUAUAUGGUUGUGUGUAUUCAGGGGUGCUUAGGCAGAAAGAUUUACUAGAGUGCGAACCAUGUAAUUCCUCAUGUUGCUGCUACUUCACAGUCACAGUGCUUGAAUUUCUUUAUAGCUUUAUCUGAAUCACCCUCACCGCUCUAGAGAAAUCAGUUUACUCAUUCAAGUUCUGGAAUGUCUUUAUAGCUUUCUCUGUUUGCUCCCCUAUCUAUGUUUGUUUCUUGUGUGCAAGCGCCGCUCCAUUCUGUGUGUGUGGCUUGAUGGUGAAUAUGUGUGGCUUGACUCUGUGUGUGUGUGGCUUGAUUGUGUGUUUGGCUUGACUGUAUGUGUGUGUGAAUGUGUGUGGCUUGAUGGUGAAUAUGUCUGGCUUGACUCUGUGUGUGUCUGUGUGUGCGACUGUGAGUGGCUUGACUCUGUGUGUGGCUCUGUGUGUGUGUACGACUGUGUGAAUAUUGCAUUUGCUUGAUGGUGUGGCUUUUGGCUUGUAUGCUUUGUUGAUUGAUUUGGUUGCAUAACUUGUGUUUUAUAUUGUUGCGGCACGAUUGGUUGCUGUUUGUUGAAUGUGAACUCGUAUCUUGACGAAUAAUCAUGUAUGCUAACUUGGUAUCGGUAGUUCCUGAUCAUAGGUAACACACCUAUUACCUUUUUAGUGUAGACUAACUAUUCUUUUUUCUAAACUUUUUUUGUGUUAUGUCUUUACAUUGCACUGCUCCCAGAUCCAUAUCGACAUGCCCACGCUGUCUGAUGAGGAUAAAGAUGUUAUGAAAAAAUAGGGUGCCCCAACCAAGAUUGACUUCCUCUCUCUUUCUUAUACAAGGCAUGCAGAAGAUGUGCUGCCAGCAUGGGAGUUCCUCUCAAAGUUAGGUGAACUUAGUCAAAAUCUGUUUUUUGCAAAAAAAUGAGAAUGUGGAGAGCUUGAACCAUUUUGAUUGGAUCCUGGAAGAAGCAGAUGGUAUAAUUCUGUCAAGAGGAAACCUUGGAAUUGAUCUUCCACCUGAAAAGGUGUUCUUAUUUCAGAAGUCUGCUCUGCACAAGUGCAACAUGGCUGAGGCAACUGAUGUGGCAAAUGCGGUGCUGGACGGAUAUGCUUCCCGCUAAAGCACCAGCAGCAGCCAAAAAGAUUGAAGAAUCCAAUGAAAGUUCUGAUUCUGAAAGCUCUGACUCUGAGAAGCCAGCUACUGAAGUGAUUCUGAUGAUUCAUCAGAUGAGGAUAUGGACACUAAAAAACCAGUAGCGAAGAAAGUGGUAGAAUCCAGUGAACGUUCUGAUUCUGACUCUGAGGAGGAUACCACUGCUAAACCAGUUCAAUCUUCCAAGGUUGUUGCUGUUAAAAAGAAUAAAGAAUCUAGUGAUAGCUCAGAUUUUGACUCGGAUUCAAAUUCCGAAGAAGUUCUCUGUUGUACUUGUUUACUCUUGGAUAGCACUGCUAAAACAGUUAAUGCAAAGAAAGAAGAAUCUAGUGGUAGCUCAGAUAAUGACUUGGAUUCAGAUUCUGAUGAAUGUUUUGCAGCCAGCAAAAUCUACUAUUCCUGCUAAGAGGCCUCUGACAACAGAGAAAAAGAGUAACAUUAUUUGCAGUCCAAGGAUGAUUCUGAUGAUAGUUCUGAUGAGAGUGAUGAAGAGCCUGCACUAAAGAAGCCUAAGGAUUCAUCUUCCAAGAAAGAAAGCUGUGGUGAUGAUGACAAUUCUGAAGAAGCUCCCGCAGUGAUGAUGAAAACGAUCAAUCGGUGUCAAUAGCAAAGUCCAAGUAGAACGAAGAACGAAGAUCUAAAUCACCCUCACCCCUCUAGAGAAAUCAGUUUACUCAUUCAAGUUCAAAAUUCUUUAUAGUUUUCUGAGUUUACUUGCAUGUUUCUUGUGUUUGUGCCCCUAUAGCUUUCUGUUUGUGCCCCUUUCUAUGUCUGUUUCUUGUGUGCAAGCGCUCCAUUCUGUGUGUGUGACUGUGUGACUUUUUUGCAUGUGUUGCUUGACUCUGUGUGUGUGUGUGGCUUGACUGUGUGUGACUUGAGGGUGAAUAUGUGUGUGGCUUGACUGUGUGUGUGCUUGACUCUUUGUGCGUGACUCUGUGUGUGUGUGUGUGUGACUGUGUGAAUAUUGCAUUUGCUUGAUGGUGUGGUUUGUAUGCUUUGUUGAAUGAUUGGUUGUGUAUAACUUGUGUUUUAUAUUGUUGUGGCCGAACACUGCCUUUGCCGGGUGUGUGGCUUGACUGUGUGUGACUUGAGGGUGAAUAUGUGUGUGGCUUGACUGUGUGUGUGUGUGUGUGCUUGACUCUCUGUGUGUGACUCUGUGUGUGUGUGUGUGUGACUGUGUGAAUAUUGCAUUUGCUUGAUGGUGUGGUUUGUAUGCUUUGUUGAAUGAUUAGUUGUGUAUAACUUGUGUUUUAUAUUGUUAUGGCCUAACACUGCCUUUGCCGGGUGUGUGGCUUGACUGUGUGUGACUUGAGAGUGAAUAUGUGUGUGGCUUGACUGUGUGUGUGUGUGUGCUUGACUCUCUGUGUGUGACUGUGUGUGUGUGUGUGACUGUGUGAAUAUUGCAUUUGCUUGAUGGUGUGGUUUGUAUGCUUUGUUGAAUGAUUGGUUGUGUAUAACUUGUGUUUUAUAUUGUUGUGGCCUAACACUGCCGUUGCCGGUCCCAAGCCCGGGUGUGAAAAUGUGGAGGGAGAUACAGUUACCUUCUUUGUAUUGUUUGCAUUACGAGUGUCGAUAGAAAUUACACAGUUUAGGUUACUGUCCUAAUCGAAUAGUGAAUCUUCACAUAAUUUGGUAGCAUGUGAUUCAAGCUUUAAAAUGCAUCCUUCCUUGCUAGUUGUACGAGGUCAGUGUUUUUCUUAUACGAUACCAAAGGAAAGUGAGUAGCUAAGAAUUUAGGCCUAUAAGGGUUUGAUUUUUUUACUUUUGUGCAUGAUUUUUUAGGUGGAGAGGUCUGCACGUACAACACGUUUUUGGAUGUUUUGGAGUCCACCGCUUUGACUGUCUCCUGAUGCUCUGACUGUUUCCAUCUUAGGUGAUGUGUGCUUUCUGUUUUUGAUUGUGUCUCCUUGUUUGCCACAUAUCAGUUUUGUAUGUCGGAUUGUUUGGGCCGAUUUUUCUGGGCUCUUCUCAUGGUACGAGUGUGUUCCUUUCUUUUUUCUUCUGCUGCCUAUAAAUAAGCUAUUCUGGAGGCCUUAUUUCUCGGUUUCUAGAUUCUUUGCUUUGGGUUCGUGAUAUGGGUUCUUGCAGUUCGGUGUGCUGAUCGGCUGCCUUCUUCGGUUUGUGCUUCUGGUCGAUCUGCUCCAAGUCGCUCCGAAUAUAUUCCUGGUGCUACUUCUGGCGGUGGAUCUUCUAGUCGAUCUGUUCUAAGUACCGCUCAAUAUCCUGGCAUGAGAUUCAAUGUGGGAAGCAUACUAUUUAUUUAUACAACCACGGUCCAUUGGCUGGAGUCGAGGAAAUUCUCAAGCAUAAAACGUCAUCUUCUUACUCAGCAUAUAAUUUUAAAGAUGAAGUCGAAGCGGCACGGAUGGCAGCAAUCAACAAGGAAAUUAAACGUGUGUUGACAGAAGUUCUUCUGAAGGUUUCUGAUGAUCUUUUUAAUGAGAUCGCAACCAAAGUUAUGAAUGAAGAUGAUUCAUCAGCUGAACCAAAUGAGAUCACUGGUGUCUCUAGCUCAAAGAAGCUUGGUCUGGGAGAAUCAGAAGUCAAGACCACAGCUGUACUGGUCGUUCUGAUGAUACCGGGCUAAGUUCUCCUAAAGGUGCUUUCUUGGUCUUGCUAAUUAUGAUUCAGAUGAUGAUGAUGGUAAGGGUUUAAUUCCAAAUUUAUCAUCUGAAAUUAAAGUUGGUGCAGCUCAUCCUAAAGAAAGUAAGUUCUUGAAAAACACAAAGCGGACAUGGUUUCCCAGAAUUUAUUUUCUAAAGAAGGAAGAGCUAAUUAUUAACUUUCUGAGUUUACUUCGGUCUUGCAUGUACUAGCUUUCUGUUUUUGCCCCUAUCUAUGUCUGUUUCUUUCCAUUUCUUGUGUGCACGUGCUCCAUUGUGUUUGUGUGUGUCUGACUAUGUGUGUGAUGUGCCCCUAACUCAGUUUCUGUCAGUUUCUUGUGUGCAAGUGCUACAUUGUGUGUGUGAUGUGCCCCUAUCUAUGCCUGUUUCUUGUGUGCAAGUGCUUGAUUGAGUGUGUGCUUGUGUGACUGUGUGUAUUGCAUUUGCUUGAUGGUGUGGCUUGUAUGCUUUGCUGAGUGAUUGGUGUGUUUUGUGUUGUUGUGGUUUAACAUUGCCUUUGCCGGUCCCAAGCCCGGAUGCGAAAAUGUGGAGGGAGCUGCAUUAUUGUUUGCCUUAGAAGUGUUGAUUGAAAUUACUCUCCUAAUCGAAUAGUGAAUCUUCACAUAAUGUCGUAGCAUGUGAUUCAAGCUCUGGAAUGCAUCCUUCCUUGCUAUGAAAAAUCUAGCAAGUGUAAUUGUCUAGAAUUUGUCCCAUCUCCUAAAUUAAUCUUGUUGGGUUCUUAAAUCUUGUCAGCACCAAUGUUCUUUUCUGCUAAUAUAUACACUUUUUUUCUAAAAAUCAGUCAUCUGUUUUUAAUUUGGCUUUAGGUUGAAUUUGUGGCUGUCUAAUCAUGCACGAAUCUCAGCGUCGUAGGUGUCCCUCAUUUUUCUGUCACUCACAAGUGCAUGUCUUGUUUAUUUGUUGUUGGGCUUUUUGUUUGGGUUGUGGGUUGCCCUCUCCUUGUUUAUUUGUUGUUGGCCUUUUUAUUCGGGUUGUGGGUCCUUUUCGGGGGGUGACCUGCUGAGAGUGUGUGUGUGAGGGG
This is a non-coding RNA of Triticum urartu, 5988 nucleotides long. The record is from RefSeq and is a predicted model, not a curated record. NCBI's taxonomy places the organism in Eukaryota, Viridiplantae, Streptophyta, Magnoliopsida, Poales, Poaceae.